GGCCCCUUGGUCAAGCGGUUAAGACACCGCCCUUUCACGGCGGUAACAGGGGUUCGAAUCCCCUAGGGGUCA
This is a transfer RNA of Filifactor alocis ATCC 35896, 72 nucleotides long. It matches the Rfam family "tRNA". From Rfam's summary of the family: Transfer RNA (tRNA) molecules are approximately 80 nucleotides in length. The record is from Rfam. Lineage: Bacteria; Bacillati; Bacillota; Clostridia; Peptostreptococcales; Filifactoraceae.